GCUCCACAAAACAAGGACAGAAGAGGUCGGGAUUAUUAUGGAAAGGGCAAGGGGAAGAUGUAUGAGGGAUCAGAGGCAAAGUGGGUCAAGGCAGCAGAGAGAAGUAACACAAGAGGCGCUCAUCAUCACGGCAAACACAGAGGUGAUAGCGAGGGAUCAAGCCACAAAACUUAUAGAAGGGAGGAGGUACGAUCUGGUGAUCAGGAGACGCGUACUAGGCCCUCUUCUGGUCAGACAAGAGCUCAACGGAAUCCCAUUGUCACACGAGAGGAGGCUAGAGAGGAAGGAGAGUUUAAGGUCUCUGAUGAGAGCUCGUUGAAUCCACCUUCUCAGGAGUUCCAGUUGGAGUUAGCUAGGACUCAAGCAGAGGGAACAAAGGUAGUCUCGGAUCCUACUUAUGAGGGUGUGGGGUUACAAAUAGUAAAUGGUCUGUUUGAGGAACAGGAAGGUCGUGUAGAGGAUGAUGAGAGGGAGAUGGAUGCUCUUGAGGCUAACCUGUUGAAGAGCGGUUUCGAUUUGGGGGCGGAAGAGGAUUUUCAAACUCUUUCGGAGGAAGAGGCUGAGAAAGCUUUGACCAAGGGAGAUGAGGUCCCUAUACAAGAAGAGGGUCUAGUGGAGAGUGAUACUAACGAGGGAGAAAGAAAGGGAGCAGGGGACGGACCGUCGAAGCAAGGGAAUCGAAAGCGACUAUUUAAGCCUACUUCGAGCACUGCAGGAAGCACCAAGAUGCGCAUUGCUAAUGCUCUGGUUAAGCGUGCUGCUUCCAAGGGAGCUACGCGUUACGGAGACAACAGCAAGCUACCGGAGACCAAGGGAACUUCAAACCCGAAAGCGCCAAAUCAAAAAUCCUAAGUUUUAUGGAUCAGGUUUUAUUAGCACUUCAUCUAUGCAAGGAAGGUGGGGUUUGCGGGAAAGAAGUUUUAAUGUAUUCUGUGGGAACCAAAAUUCGCACUGUCGAUUUCCGUUUAAAUUAGGAAAGUUAGGAAACUCUUUGGGUAUUGUCCUCUUUGCUCCAGUCUAUGCCAUAAGGAGGAAAAGUGUUCUCUAUAUGUGAAGAACACAGUGAAGAGUCCAGAGAGGAAGCGGGAGAGCAAAGAGGAGAAUAGAGGAUGGUCUGACGGGGGGAAGCAUGAUGAGAGAGCCAGGAGUUACAAAGGAGUAGUUAUUAAUGAUAAUGUGGCUCCACAAAACAAGGACAGAAGAGGUCGGGAUUAUUAUGGAAAGGGCAAGGGGAAGAUGUAUGAGGGAUCAGAGGCAAAGUGGGUCAAGGCAGCAGAGAGAAGUAACACAAGAGGCGCUCAUCAUCACGGCAAACACAGAGGUGAUAGCGAGGGAUCAAGCCACAAAACUUAUAGAAGGGAGGAGGUACGAUCUGGUGAUCAGGAGACGCGUAUUAGGCCCUCUUCUGGUCAGACAAGAGCUCAACGGAAUCCCAUUGUCACACGAGAGGAGGCUAGAGAGGAAGGAGAGUUUAAGGUCUCUGAUGAGAGCUCGUUGAAUCCACCUUCUCAGGAGUUCCAGUUGGAGUUAGCUAGGACUCAAGCAGAGGGAACAAAGGUAGUCUCGGAU
RNAcentral lists this long non-coding RNA (1569 nucleotides) under Brassica napus (rape). RNAcentral's name for it is "long non-coding RNA (BNAP_LNC020053)". The record is from RNAcentral. Lineage: Eukaryota; Viridiplantae; Streptophyta; Magnoliopsida; Brassicales; Brassicaceae.